Molecule: ribosomal RNA, 376 nt
Filed under: uncultured archaeon
Lineage: Archaea
Description: bacterial SSU rRNA
Rfam family: Archaeal small subunit ribosomal RNA
Source: RNAcentral
ACCAGCACCUCAAGUGGUCAGGAUGAUUAUUGGGCCUAAAGCAUCCGUAGCCGGCUCAGUAAGUUUUCGGUUAAAUCUGUACGCUCAACGUACAGGCUGCCGGGAAUACUGCAGAGCUAGGGAGUGGGAGAGGUAGACGGUACUCGGGAGGAAGUGGUAAAAUGCUUUGAUCUUUCGAUGACCACCUGCGGCGAAGGCGGUCUACCAGAACACGUCCGACGGUGAGGGAUGAAAGCUGGGGGAGCAAACCGGAUUAGAUACCCGGGUAGCCCCAGCUGUAAACUAUGCAAACUCAGUGAUGCAUUGGCUUGUGGCAAAUGCAGUGUUGCAGGGAAGCCGUUAAGUUUGCCGCCUGGGAAGUACGUACGCAAGUAUG